Molecule: ribosomal RNA, 511 nt
Filed under: uncultured bacterium
Lineage: Bacteria
Description: bacterial SSU rRNA
Rfam family: Bacterial small subunit ribosomal RNA
Source: RNAcentral
UUCUGGCUCAGGAUGAACGCUAGCUACAGGCUUAACACAUGCAAGUCGAGGGGCAGCAUGAUCAAAGCUUGCUUGAUUGAUGGCGACCGGCGCACGGGUGAGUAACGCGUAUCCAACCUUCCCCUUAGUAGGGCAUAGCCCGGCGAAAGUCGGAUUAAUACCCUAUGUUAUUCGUCGAGGACAUCUGAAGUGAAUCAAAGAUUUAUCGCUAAGGGAUGGGGAUGCGUCUGAUUAGGUUGUUGGCGGGGUAACGGCCCACCAAGCCAUCGAUCAGUAGGGGUUCUGAGAGGAAGGUCCCCACAUUGGUACUGAGACACGGACCAAACUCCUACGGGAGGCAGCAGUGAGGAAUAUUGGUCAAUGGGCGAGAGCCUGAACCAGCCAAGUAGCGUGCCAGGAUGACUGCCCUAUGGGUUGUAAACUGCUUUUAUACGGGGAUAAAGUGAGGUAUGCAUACCUUUUUGUAGGUACCGUAUGAAUAAGGACCGGCUAAUUCCGUGCCAGCAGCAGC